GUGGUUUUGACCUUUUGCCUGUCCAUGACCAUUCUCUUGCCUACCCUUUUUUGGAUCAAUAAACAUCUAAGACUCCAACCAUCUGCAUCUGGGUCUCGCCUUGUGCCCUGAUACAGACAGCAGCCGCCCUGGCACCUGAGCCCAGGAUCAAGCAUUUCCAGAUCUACCACUGGGAUCCAGACACAACGGGGGACAAACCACGCAUGUAGACAUAUGAAAUUGACCUCAACUGUGGCCCCAUAGUAUUGGAUUCCCUCAUCAAGAAUGAGAUGGACCCCACACUCGGACGUUCCUGCAGAGUGGCGAUAAAAGUAUCUGUGGUUCAUGUGCCAUGAACAUCAACUUAAACAAAAAAGACAUAAACACCAGCAAAACCAUCAAAUGCUACCCUCUCCCGCACAUGUAUGAUGUCAAAGAUCUUGUGCCGGCCAUGAAUAACUUCUAUGCCCAGUACAAGUCCAUCAAGCCCUUCCUGAACAAGAAAGACAAGUCUCAGGAGGGUAAAGAGCACUACCAUCAGACUGUGGAAGAGGCAGAAACUGGUACAUAUUUCAGCCCCUGACCAGUGGAUGGUCUGAGUGCAUUCUCUGUGCCUGCUGUAGCUCCAGCAGCCCUAGCUACUGGUGGAAUGGAGAUAAGUAUCUGGGCCCUGCUUUCCUCAUGCAGGCAUAUUGUUGGAUGAUUGAGUCAGGCAAUAAGGACAGACUGUCAAAGGACCCCUUCUCUCUCUACCGCUGUUGCCAAAAAAUGUCCUACUGUUUUUAAAACCUCCCAUAAUGACUCUCCCGAUGUCAAGUCCAUUUAACUCCUGAGAGUCCAUUUCUUCCUCAAAGCCAUGAGCGAGCUUGUGGCUGUGAUGUUUAGCCUCAUUCUAAGGCUGUUCUGAAGACUGUCUGUCGUGUCUAUUUUUAAUUGUUAACUAUAACCUGGGUGUCCUCUUUAGCCUUGUCUACAAGGCUUACUGGCACCAAAUGCGCCUUGGUUCGGGCAUGUACAAAACACUUUUUUUGAAGGGCUCUUUGUUUAUGUCUGAGCAUAGGAUGUUAAUUUACUGUACAUCCCACCUACUCUUUGGCUACUUUAAUCCAUCCAGUUGUAGACCCAAGCUCCCUACCUUUUUGCAUGUUGUCCAGCCCAACUUUUAAUUCUGCAUGAAAAGCCAUGGGUUAUACAUUUGCUUGUCCUAGAACUGCAAAUCCACCACUUCGUCAGUAGAUGCACUGCUCCCAGUCUCCCUCCCACUGAGUCUGACUCGCUAGUGGAGGUGCCGGUGGUGAGGCUGAACUGGUGGGAUUAGCAGUGCUGCUACGACGGCAUCGCCAUCAGGAACAUUUGCCUCUCACUCCUCUCCUCCGGCACUGACAGUUAUCUGGCUCGUUCUGGGUUGGAUUCAGUCUUUCUCUGGAUUUGUGGACUCAAAUGUUUUAUCAAACUUGACUGCCUUUUCUUAUCCUUUUUUUAUUUGUCUUUCCCACGAUUCAAAUUCAUUAGGGAGACGACUAGCCUAGGCUACGUAACGUGAUUAGGUAGGGACCUCUUCACCAGCUGACCACCAAGACCUGUGUCAAGAUCAGUUACUUACCCCAAUCAUAGGAUGAUUACACAGCAGGAUCACCGUGCUUUUACAUGAUGGUCUUUCUGGGGGGGCGGGAGAAAUAACGAGGAGGCAACUUGAUAUAAAUAACACUGAUCGCUUUUAUUAGAAUGUCACCAGUGCGAACAGUGAAACAUUUAAUAAAUCAUGCCGCGAGAGAUACCGGAUGCGGGCAAAUAGGUGCCGGAACAAAGUCAAAUCUGAGAUGUGCCGAAUCUGGUUCAAAUUAAGCACUGGAUGUCGUACCAUCAUGAUCUGGAUUAAGACCUGGCCCAAGGUACACUUACUAUCUGAAUACACUGCAUCUGUAAUAAGACAGUAAUGAGGCUAGUGUAGAGUUCAGCACAGUGGAUUUUAUACAACUCAUGCAGCUCAGAAGUAGUCAUCACCAAUCCCUCUCAGUUAUGUUUCUAAUUUGGUGCGCAUCGGGCUACUUUUAUUUACCUCUUAUUUUGUUUUCAUUUCACAGGGACUCAACCCAGGAUAGGCAAUCGCUGAGAUCAAGAAAAUUAUGGCAACAUACAAACAAGAGGUCAUUAACCCCAUGAACAUUGUGAAAAAACACCUGCCUUGAAUUCAACUAGUAAUAACUAUAAAUGAUUGAAGUAAUGACUCAAUGCUGAAUUUUCCAUCACACAUCUUUUCAACAAAAUAAAAGUAAAUCAAGUCCCUUUCAUUAGACUUCACACAUGGGAAGGGAAAAAAAAGAGACAGUCUAGAAGAUUCCAGUGCUUUUAUGUACAGUCAAGGGUGCCGCCAGAGAUUUUGGGGCACCACAAAAAGAUAGCACAUUGGGCCCCACCACCACAGGCCACACCAACCCAGCGCAAUUGCUGUAACCACACACCUCCAGAACCCAAUCGACCCAUUCAAACUUUAAAUAACUCUUGUAGUCCAAUAUUUACUGUACGAUAUUUACUGACAGUGAGCUGUGAAAAUAUAACACUGUGCAGACAUGCAUGCAACAUUCUGCAUACAGUCAAAUUCACUAUUUGAUUCAAGACUGAUACCCUCUAUAAGAAAUGUGC
Molecule: non-coding RNA, 2622 nt
Organism: Salmo salar (Atlantic salmon)
Lineage: Eukaryota; Metazoa; Chordata; Actinopteri; Salmoniformes; Salmonidae
Source: RefSeq, a predicted model, not a curated record